AUCAAGCAGAGCUAUGAGGACGUGG
This 25-nucleotide unclassified non-coding RNA is filed under the name Mus musculus (house mouse). Its description in RNAcentral is "oocyte_clustered_small_RNA13414". Lineage: Eukaryota; Metazoa; Chordata; Mammalia; Rodentia; Muridae. The record is from RNAcentral.